UUCUCAAAAAAAGAAUUUUAGUCCAACCUAAAGUUAUAUAAAUUUCCAUAAAUUUUUCCCCCCCACUUUAGAGCAACUCAAAUGAGGUACAGCCCAUUUGAUACAGGAUCCAACCUUUACUAACGGGUAAUACCUGAUUCCACCCCAAGUAGGCUUAAGAGCAGCCACCUUUUAAAAAGCGUCAAACCUUAACUGUAUUAACACCAAUUCACAAACCCCCAUCGACCCCUUUCACCCUACUGAGAACUUCUAUAAAAUUAUAGAACCUUUAAUGUUAAAACUAGUAACAAGAGAUAUACCCUCUCUGUAAUGUAAACUAAAGCCAGCAAGAACCCAUCACUGGCAAUCAACAGAAACAAAGUAGUAAAUUUCUCCAGAAAACUCUACUCCCCUAACUGUUAACCUAACACAAGAACAUUCUAAGAAAGAUUUAAAGAAAAAGAAGGAACUCGGCAAACAUUAAUCUCGCCUGUUUACCAAAAACAUCGCCUCUUGUCACCCAUAAGAGGUCCAGCCUGCCCAGUGACUCUUGUUCAACGGCCGCGGUAUCCUAACCGUGCGAAGGUAGCGUAAUCACUUGUCUUUUAAAUAGAGACUUGUAUGAAAGGCACCACGAGGAUUAAGCUGUCUCCUCUCUCCAAUCAGUGAACCUAAUCUCCCCGUGAAAAAGCGGGAAUUUUUAUAUAAGACGAG
This 693-nucleotide ribosomal RNA is filed under the name Pristimantis nelsongalloi. RNAcentral's name for it is "partial large subunit ribosomal RNA". The stretch from base 427 to 675 matches the Rfam family "Archaeal large subunit ribosomal RNA", at positions 1787 to 2143 of the family's 2987-position model. The record is from RNAcentral. Lineage: Eukaryota; Metazoa; Chordata; Amphibia; Anura; Strabomantidae.